RNAcentral lists this ribosomal RNA (457 nucleotides) under Streptococcus mitis. RNAcentral's name for it is "bacterial SSU rRNA". It matches the Rfam family "Bacterial small subunit ribosomal RNA", at positions 28 to 471 of the family's 1533-position model. Lineage: Bacteria; Bacillati; Bacillota; Bacilli; Lactobacillales; Streptococcaceae. The record is from RNAcentral.
GACGAACGCUGGCGGCGUGCCUAAUACAUGCAAGUAGAACGCUGAAGGAGGAGCUUGCUUCUCUGGAUGAGUUGCGAACGGGUGAGUAACGCGUAGGUAACCUGCCUGGUAGCGGGGGAUAACUAUUGGAAACGAUAGCUAAUACCGCAUAAGAGUAGAUGUUGCAUGACAUUUACUUAAAAGGUGCAAUUGCAUCACUACCAGAUGGACCUGCGUUGUAUUAGCUAGUUGGUGGGGUAACGGCUCACCAAGGCGACGAUACAUAGCCGACCUGAGAGGGUGAUCGGCCACACUGGGACUGAGACACGGCCCAGACUCCUACGGGAGGCAGCAGUAGGGAAUCUUCGGCAAUGGACGGAAGUCUGACCGAGCAACGCCGCGUGAGUGAAGAAGGUUUUCGGAUCGUAAAGCUCUGUUGUAAGAGAAGAACGAGUGUGAGAGUGGAAAGUUCACAACU